ACCUACGGGGGGCAGCAGUGGGGAAUAUUGCACAAUGGGGGAAACCCUGAUGCAGCGACGCCGCGUGAGUGAAGAAGUAUCUCGGUACGUAAAGCUCUAUCAGCAGGGAAGAAAAAAAGUCUUUGGCUUUGGACGGUACCUGACUAAGAAGCGCCGGCUAACUACGUGCCAGCAGCCGCGGUAAUACGUAGGGGGCAAGCGUUAUCCGGAUUUACUGGGUGUAAAGGGAGCGCAGACGGCUGUGCAAGUCUGGAGUGAACGGCGGGGGCCCAACCCCCGGCCUGCUCUGGAAAUUGUAAAGCGGG
This 305-nucleotide ribosomal RNA is filed under the name uncultured bacterium. Its description in RNAcentral is "partial 16S ribosomal RNA". It matches the Rfam family "Bacterial small subunit ribosomal RNA", at positions 337 to 644 of the family's 1533-position model. The record is from RNAcentral.